AAUGAACGCUGGCGGCAUGCCUAACACAUGCAAGUCGAACGAAGGCUUCGGCCUUAGUGGCGCACGGGUGCGUAACGCGUGGGAAUCUGCCCUUGGGUUCGGAAUAACUCGCCGAAAGGCGUGCUAAUACCGAAUGAUGACGUAAGUCCAAGGAUUUAUCGCCCAGGGAUGAGCCCGCGUAGGAUUAGCUUGUUGGUGAGGUAAAAGCUCACCAAGGCGACGAUCCUUAGCNGGUCUGAGAGGAUGAUCAGCCACACUGGGACUGAGACACGGCCCAGACUCCUACGGGAGGCAGCAGUGGGGAAUAUUGGACAAUGGGCGAAAGCCUGAUCCAGCAAUGCCGCGUGAGUGAUGAAGGCCUUAGGGUUGUAAAGCUCUUUUACCCGGGAUGAUAAUGACAGUACCGGGAGAAUAAGCUCCGGCUAACUUCGUGCCAGCAGCCGCCGCGGUAA
Molecule: ribosomal RNA, 452 nt
Filed under: uncultured bacterium
Lineage: Bacteria
Description: bacterial SSU rRNA
Rfam family: Bacterial small subunit ribosomal RNA
Source: RNAcentral